Molecule: ribosomal RNA, 253 nt
Filed under: uncultured bacterium
Lineage: Bacteria
Description: partial 16S ribosomal RNA
Rfam family: Bacterial small subunit ribosomal RNA
Source: RNAcentral
GACAGAGGGUGCAAACGUUGCUCGGAAUUACUGGGCGUAAAGCGCGUGUAGGCGGACCAACAAGUCGGACGUGAAAGCCCUGGGCUCAACCCAGGAACUGCAUCCGAAACUGUUGGCCUGGAGUGGUGGAGAGGGAAGCAGAAUUCCUGGUGUAGAGGUGAAAUUCGUAGAUAUCAGGAGGAACACCGGUGGCGAAGGCGGCUUCCUGGACACUUACUGACGCUGAGACGCGAAAGCGUGGGGAGCGAACAGG